Molecule: ribosomal RNA, 942 nt
Filed under: Arthrobacter sp.
Lineage: Bacteria; Bacillati; Actinomycetota; Actinomycetes; Micrococcales; Micrococcaceae
Description: bacterial SSU rRNA
Rfam family: Bacterial small subunit ribosomal RNA
Source: RNAcentral
UGGCGUAAGAGCUCGUAGGCGGUUUGUCGCGUCUGCUGUGAAAGACCGGGGCUCAACUCCGGUUCUGCAGUGGGUACGGGCAGACUAGAGUGCAGUAGGGGAGACUGGAAUUCCUGGUGUAGCGGUGAAAUGCGCAGAUAUCAGGAGGAACACCGAUGGCGAAGGCAGGUCUCUGGGCUGUAACUGACGCUGAGGAGCGAAAGCAUGGGGAGCGAACAGGAUUAGAUACCCUGGUAGUCCAUGCCGUAAACGUUGGGCACUAGGUGUGGGGGACAUUCCACGUUUUCCGCGCCGUAGCUAACGCAUUAAGUGCCCCGCCUGGGGAGUACGGCCGCAAGGCUAAAACUCAAAGGAAUUGACGGGGGCCCGCACAAGCGGCGGAGCAUGCGGAUUAAUUCGAUGCAACGCGAAGAACCUUACCAAGGCUUGACAUGAACCGGUAAUACCUGGAAACAGGUGCCCCGCUUGCGGUCGGUUUACAGGUGGUGCAUGGUUGUCGUCAGCUCGUGUCGUGAGAUGUUGGGUUAAGUCCCGCAACGAGCGCAACCCUCGUUCUAUGUUGCCAGCGCGUUAUGGCGGGGACUCAUAGGAGACUGCCGGGGUCAACUCGGAGGAAGGUGGGGACGACGUCAAAUCAUCAUGCCCCUUAUGUCUUGGGCUUCACGCAUGCUACAAUGGCCGGUACAAAGGGUUGCGAUACUGUGAGGUGGAGCUAAUCCCAAAAAGCCGGUCUCAGUUCGGAUUGGGGUCUGCAACUCGACCCCAUGAAGUCGGAGUCGCUAGUAAUCGCAGAUCAGCAACGCUGCGGUGAAUACGUUCCCGGGCCUUGUACACACCGCCCGUCAAGUCACGAAGUUGGUACACCCGAAGCCGGUGCCUAACCCUUGUGGGGGAGCCGUCGAAGUGGGACCGGCGAUUGGACUAAGUCGUACAAGGUAGCCC